This 250-nucleotide small RNA is filed under the name Bacillus sp. MRMR6. Its description in RNAcentral is "BsrG". It matches the Rfam family "BsrG". From Rfam's summary of the family: bsrE, bsrG and bsrH pair through intermolecular interactions with antisense sRNAs. SR4 interaction with the 3'UTR of bsrG RNA promotes bsrG degradation and inhibits its translation. SR5 also overlaps bsrG from nucleotide 163 to 52 (Rfam overlap check). The record is from Rfam by way of RNAcentral. Lineage: Bacteria; Bacillati; Bacillota; Bacilli; Caryophanales; Bacillaceae.
CCGGGGGACCAAUUUGGUUGUCUCAAGGGUGGUGGCACUCUCCCAGAUCGAAAGAGGGUGAUGCUGAAUGACAGUUUWUGAAACGUUCAUGAUUGCGAUUGCUUUUACUAGCUUAAUCGUAGCCAUACUGUCAUUUAAACAAAAAUAAUCCACCCUUGAGUUUUAGCGGCUCGGGUGAAUUAUCUACACUAUAGCCGAUCCUAUUGAGGGAAGCGUCUAUCGCUGGACCGGACAUGUUACUGCAUGUUCG